ACGCUCGACACCUACGGGAGGCAGCAGUGGGGAAUAUUGCACAAUGGGGGAAACCCUGAUGCAGCGACGCCGCGUGGAGGAAGAAGGUCUUCGGAUUGUAAACUCCUGUUGUUGGGGAAAAGAGGAUGGUACCCAACAAGGAAGUGACGGCUAACUACGUGCCAACAGCCGGUAAUCUGAGCGGGCUGGCAAGGC
Molecule: ribosomal RNA, 195 nt
Filed under: uncultured bacterium
Lineage: Bacteria
Description: partial 16S ribosomal RNA
Rfam family: Bacterial small subunit ribosomal RNA
Source: RNAcentral